Molecule: ribosomal RNA, 504 nt
Filed under: uncultured bacterium
Lineage: Bacteria
Description: partial 16S ribosomal RNA
Rfam family: Bacterial small subunit ribosomal RNA
Source: RNAcentral
AUUGAACGCUGGCGGCAGGCCUAACACAUGCAAGUCGAGCGGAAACGAAGGGAGCUUGCUCCCAGGCGUCGAGCGGCGGACGGGUGAGUAACACGUGAGAAUCUGCCCAUUAGUGGGAGACAACUCGGGGUAACUCGAGCUAAUACCGCAUAAUCCCUACGGGGGAAAGCAGGGGACCUUUUGGCCUUGCGCUGAUGGAUGAGUCCACGUCGGAUUAGCUUGUGGGUGAGGUAAAGGCGCACUAAGGGGACGAUCCGUAGCGAGUCUGAGAGGAUGAGCAGCCACACUGGGACUGAGACACGGCCCAGACUCCUACGGGAGGCAGCAGUGGGGAAUCUUGGACAAUGGGGGCAACCCUGAUCCAGCCAUGCCGCGUGUGUGAAGAAGGCCUUCGGGUUGUAAAGCACUUUCAGCAGGGAGGAAGGCUUUGGCCGAAUAGGUUGAAGUACUUGACGUUACCUGCAGAAGAAGCACCGGCUAAUUUCGUGCCAGCCGCCGCGGUAA